UCCUUUCUCUUUCUGUCCUUGCUUUUCCUUGUGCUGUCUCCCUUCGUACGACACGAGCACGUGUGCUCGGUGUGCAUCCCCACAGGGUAGGUCUCGGGGGGCCAUGAUGAAGUAGGAGGGGACGAAAAUUGUGCAAGGUAGCGGGCGCGGGAGUGGAGGGGUGACUGUCAGUGUUAACUUGGUCUCUGUUCAUCAAGUUUGGCAGAUGUAGAUGGGCUGGAAGAGGGAGGCAGGGAUGAGGGCAAGAUUUCAAGCAUCAGUAGAGAUGUGUGUAGUGAUGGCUCAUGCUUGGCUUUUGCAAAUCCAUUUCCAGAGGAAUUUCCCAGGAGCCGUAGCCGGAGAAGAGGUUGGCAGAUGUGGACAUGAGGAAACUGAACAUCCUUCUGAGCAGACACGAACAGUCCUCGGCUUUCUGCUUCCCACAUAACUGGCUUUUGCAGAGGAAUCAUCCAGGAGCCCUCACCGAACGAGAAUAUGCAGAAGUGGAUGUGAGCAGCCUGGACAUCCUUCUAAGGAGACCUCAACAGUCCUCAGGUUUCUGCCUUCUGCCUAACUGGCUUAGCAAGAGAAAAGAAGUCACAGGCCAGAGUCUACUGCCCUCGUGCAAUGGAAAGAGAGCAAGAGCGAUGAGUCUGCAAGCGUUGUUGAUGCGACGCAGAAGGCGUCCAUCUGGGAGCGGAACCGCCACCACUCUCAAUGAGAUAAGUGUCUUCUUUGGUGAUCGCUCUGCUCAAGGCCCAUCUUGCUCCCGGUAGGGACGCCCCGUUAGCUGGGGCUGGGUUUGUAAGAAAAGGUUCCUGACUAGUUGUGGUUACAAGGGAGACGAUGUCCCCAUUUUCAGGGGCUGCUCAUGUCUCUGGCCAGGACCAGUGUGUCCUCCGCAGCAUAUUAGAUUCAGGGGGAUGACUCCAGCUGGUGAGUUUCUUGACUCCCUCCCACGUUUUUCUCUCUCUCUCCUCUAAUGUGUUGGCCAACACACACUCUCUGUCUCUCACUCUCUCUGUCCUUGCCUCUUCUUGUGCUGCCUUCCUUCGUAGGACACGGGCAGGUGUGUUAGGUAUGCAUCCCCACAGGCUAGGUCUUGUGAGCUAUGAACAAGUAGGGGACCAAAAUGAUGCAGGUCAGUGGGCGCUAGAGUGAAGCGGUGACUGUGGGUGUUGACUGAGUCUCUGCUCUAGCGGGGCUGAUGUGGGAGGCAGGGAUGAGGGCAAGAUUUCACGCACCAAUUGAAUUUUUUGUAGUGAGGGCUCUUGCUUGGCUUAUUUGCUGCACUUGUAGAGGAAUUGUCCAGGAGCAGCAGCCAGAGGAGAAAUUGGCAGACGUGGGCCUGAGGAGCCUGGACAUUCUUCUAAGGAGACAUGAACAGUCCUCAGCUUUCUGCCUCGUGCAUAACUGGCUGUGGUACCAAGGGAAAAGAAGUGACAAGUCAGAGUCUACUGCCCCCAUACGAUGGAAAGUGAGCGAGAGUGAUGGGACUGCGAGAAUUAUUGAUGCCUUGAAAAAGCCGUCCAACUGGGAAUGGAACAGUCAUCGCUGUCAAUGAGAUAAGUGUCUGUUUUGGUGAUUGCUCUGCUCACGGCCCACCUUGCUCCUGAAAGGGAUGCCCCGUUUGCUGAGGCUGUGUUUGUAAGAAAAGGUUCCUGCCUAGCUGUGGUUUUGAGAGAGAGAGAAGAUUCCCAUUUUUAGGGGCUGCUCAGUUUUCUGGCCAGGAGCAGUGUGUCCUACGCAGCAGAAGGUUGCAUCUAGGAGAAUGAGUCCAAGUGGUGAAUUGCUUGCCUUUCCCUCGUGUUUCUCUCUCUCUUUCUCUCCUCUAGUGUGUUGGCCAACACUCUUUCUCAAUCUGUCCUUGCUUUUCCUUGUGCUGUCUCCCUUCUUAGGAUAUCAGCAGGCGAGCUAGGUGUGCACCCCCACAGGUUGUGUCUUGGGAGCCAUAAAGAAGUAGGAGGGGACGAAAAUCAUGCGGGGCAGUCGGUGCGAGACUGGAGCGAUGACUGUUGGUGUUGUGGGGCUAAGACAGAUCGAAAGUGACGCAGGGAAGAGGGGCUUAAUUGGGCUCUAUGUAGUGCAGAAGUUCUCAAACUGGGGUUUAGGUCCCGUCAGGGGGCCGCAAGAUUGUUAUUUGGGGGGUUGUGAAAUGUCACCCUCCAUACUAAACAUCACUUUGCUUCCAGCAUUUAUAAUGGUGUUGAAUAUACAAAAAGUGUUUUUAAUUUAUAAGAGGAGGGUCACACUCAGAAGCUUUCUAUGUAAAAGGGAUCAUCAGUACAAAAGGUUGAGAACCACUGGUGUAGUGAUAGUUCUUGCUUGCCUUUAUUAGUUUGCAGCGGAAUUGUGCAGGAGUCUCAGCUGGAGAAGAAGCUGUCAGAAGUGGACCUGAACUGCCUGGACAUCCUUCUAAGGAGACAUGAACAGUCCUCAGCUUUCUGCAUUCUGGAUAACUGGCUAUGAGUAAGAACAGUCACACAUCAGAGUCUACUGUCCUCAUGCGAUGGAAAGUGAGUGAGAGCAGCGAGCCUGUGAGCAUUGUUCAUGCCAGGCAACAGCCGUCAAUGUGGGGGUCGAGCAGACGCCACUUUUGCAGAGGAAUCGUCCAGGAGCCCCAGCCGGAUGAGAAUGUCAGAAAUGGACCUGAGCAGCCUGGACAUCCUUCUAAGGAAACAAGAAUAGUCCUCCAGUUUCUGCCUUCUGCAUAACUGGCUUACCAAGGAAAAAGACAUCACAUGUCAAAGUCUACUGCCCUUAUGAGUGAGAGUGACGAGACUGCGAGCGUUGUUGGUGCCAGGCAGGAGCCGUCCAUCUGGGAGCAGAACAGCUGCUACUAUCACUGAGAUAAGUAUCUGUUUUGCUGAGGGUUCUGCUCACGGCCCACCUGGCUACAGGUAGAGACACCCCGUUAGGUGGAGUGGGUUUGUAAGAAAAGGUUCCUGACUAGUUGUGGUUUUGAGGGAGACACGGUCCCCAUUUUCAGGGGCUGAUUUCUCUGGCCAGGAUCGGUGUGUCCUCGGCAGGAGAAGGUUAGAUCCAUGAGGGAUGACUCCAGGUGAGGAAUUGUCCAGGAGCAGCAGCUGAAGGAGAAAGUGGCAGACGCGGACCUGAGGAGCCUGGACAUCCUUCUAAGCAGACAUGAAAGGUCCUCAGAUUUCUGCCUCCCGCACAACUGGCUGUGAGUAAGCUGUCAGUGCUUGGAAUCCCUCAUCUGUACUGGCUCCGGUUUUGUUCAGAGGCUCUGAAUUUCUUCAUUGGACAUGGUGCUCUGUGGGAUUCAGACGAAGCAAAGGCACAAGUCUUCUGUGCAAAUGCUGGGUUUAGUACCAACUGCAGAGUCAGAGUCCACUCCGCACAUGCCAUGGAAAGGGAGGGAGAGCUGGGAGAUUCUAAGCAUUGUUGAUGCCAGGGAAGAGCCAUCCAGCUGGGAGUGGAGCAAGGACCACUGUCAGUGAGAUAAGUGUCUUGUUAGGUGAAGGCUCUGCUGUGGUUACAAGGGAGACAAGGUCCCUAUUUUCAGGGGCUGCUCAGUCCUCUGGCCAGUACAGGUGUGUCCUCUGCAGCGGAAGGUUGGAUCCAGGAGGAUGACUCCAGGUGACAAGUUGCUUGCCUGCCUUCCUCCCAUGUUUCUCAUUUUCUCUCUCUGUCUCUUUAGUGUGUUGGCCAACACUCUCUCUUAAUCUGUCCUGUCCUUUCCUUGUGCCAUCUCCCUUCUUAGGACACAGGCAGGCCUGUGAGGUGUGCAUCUCCACAGGUUAGGUCUUGAAAGCCCUGGAGUAGUAGGAGGGGACGAAAACCAUGCGGGGUAGUGGGUGCGAGAGUGGAGCAGUGACUGUCAGUGUUGAAUCGAUCUCUGUUCAAGUGGGGCUGAUGUAGAUGGGUGGAAGAGGGAGGCAGGAUUGAGGGCAACAUUUCAAGCACCAUUAGAACUGUGUGUAGAGAUGGCGCAUGCUUGGCUUUUGCAGCUGCAUUUCCAGAGGAAUUGUCCAGGAGCUUGAGCCGGAGGAGAAACUGGCAGAGGUGGAUCUGAGCAGCUUGGACAUGGUUCUAACCAGACAGGAACAGUCCUCAGCUUUCUGCCUUCUGAACACCUGGCUGUGAGUAAGUGUACCAAGGAAAAAUAAGUCACAUGUCAGAGUCUACUGCCAUCAUGCAAUGGAAAGUGAGUGAGAGCAGCGAGCCUCUGAGCAUUGUUCAUGCCAGGCAAGAGCCGUUCAUUUGGGAGCCAAGCAGAUGCCACUGUCAGUGAGAUAAGUGUCUGUUUUGCUGAGGGUUCUGUUAUCAGCCAAUCUGACUCCAGGAGAAGGUUGGAUCCAGGAGGAUGACUCCAGAUGGUGAGUUACUUGCCUUUCUCCUGUGUUUCUCUCUCUCUCUCUCUCUCUCUUCUCUAGUGUGUUGGCCAACACUCUUUUUCUCUCUCUCUCUGUCUCUGUCCUUGCCUCUCCUUGUGCCGUCUCCCUUCAUAGAACAGGGGCAGGAGUGCUAGGUGUGCAUCCCCACAGGCUUGGUCUCGGGAGCUAUGAACAAGUAGGAGGGGAUGAAAAUCAUGCAGGAUAGUGGGCGCCAGAGUGAGGCAGUGUCUGUGGAUGUUGACUCAGUCUCUGUUCAUUGAGUCUGGCGGAUAUAGAUGGAAUGGGAGAGGGAGGCAGGGAUGAGGACAUUCAUAGAGCUCUGUGUAAUGAUGG
This is a long non-coding RNA of Mauremys reevesii (Reeves's turtle), 4670 nucleotides long. RefSeq lists it as uncharacterized. The transcript is spliced from 11 exons. NCBI's taxonomy places the organism in Eukaryota, Metazoa, Chordata, Testudines, Geoemydidae. The record is from RefSeq and is a predicted model, not a curated record.